RNAcentral lists this transfer RNA (57 nucleotides) under Idiophlebotomus padillarum. RNAcentral describes it as "tRNA-Ser". The record is from RNAcentral. Lineage: Eukaryota; Metazoa; Arthropoda; Insecta; Diptera; Psychodidae.
AAGCUUAAAUAGCAUUUGUUUUGAAAACAUAAGAUAGAAAUAAUUUUCUAUUAACUU